AAUCCAUAGGUUAAUGAGGCGAACCGGGGGAACUGAAACAUCUAAGUACCCCGAGGAAAAGAAAUCAACCGAGAUUCCCCCAGUAGCGGCGAGCGAACGGGGAGGAGCCCAGAGCCUGAAUCAGCAUGUGUGUUAGUGGAAGCGUCUGGAAAGGCGCGCGAUACAGGGUGACAGCCCCGUACACAAAAGCGCAUGUGCUGUGAGCUCGAUGAGUAGGGCGGGACACGUGGUAUCCUGUCUGAAUAUGGGGGGACCAUCCUCCAAGGCUAAAUACUCCUGACUGACCGAUAGUGAACCAGUACCGUGAGGGAAAGGCGAAAAGAACCCCGGCGAGGGGAGUGAAAAAGAACCUGAAACCGUGUACGUACAAGCAGUGGGAGCACCCUUUGGGGUGUG
This 396-nucleotide ribosomal RNA is filed under the name Salmonella enterica subsp. enterica serovar Hadar. RNAcentral's name for it is "partial 23S ribosomal RNA". It matches the Rfam family "Bacterial large subunit ribosomal RNA", at positions 161 to 595 of the family's 2925-position model. The record is from RNAcentral. Lineage: Bacteria; Pseudomonadati; Pseudomonadota; Gammaproteobacteria; Enterobacterales; Enterobacteriaceae.